Molecule: long non-coding RNA, 1930 nt
Organism: Dicentrarchus labrax (European seabass)
Lineage: Eukaryota; Metazoa; Chordata; Actinopteri; Moronidae
Exons: 2
Source: RefSeq, a predicted model, not a curated record
UUUAUACAAAUUACAAUAUAAGAGCAAUUAUACAUUUAUAUACAUUAUUAUUAUUCAAUAUAGCUUAUUGUAACUGUGUCACUUUCAUUAUCUCAGGACAAGCAUCUUCAGUUUUACGUUUUUGAAUAAUCACCUUGAACCACUCCACACAUGUCACUGGUCAGACGAUAACACCAAAAAACCCCAGAAAGAUUUAGUACAAUAAUGACAAUGCAUUUUGAGCAACAUCCAAUCACUAGACAAAACUAGAACAAAUUGAAUUGAAACAUCACAAACACCACAGUGUUGUCAUACAUUACAUCCAUUCUAUAACCCAAAAAGGGACAAAAGUUUAAAUUAGUCAAAAACAAGAAAGAAUGCAUACAACAACAUCCAUAUAAUAGUCACAUUCUAAAAUCUAUUAACAAGUAAUAAUAUAUUAAUAGUAAUAAGUAUUGCAGGGGACCACUAGAGUUAAUCAGUACAUAUGUAAGUCCACAAACACUGAUUGGCUUACCCUGACAUUCUCACCCUAACCCUAACCAACCUCCUCAUCGUGGCUCAUUUUGUAUGACUGUAUGACUGUUAGGGCUGUAUGUGUUUUCUGCAAUAAUAUUAGGAAAUGUGGUGUUAUGCUGAACACAGAUUAUAUGGAAAUGGUCGAGACAUAUUACCUUCAAAAGAGUUUGAGAGCAUUUUUGUAUUUUGUUAUUGUUCAUUUUGAGCAACUUAAACAUAGAAGCAGAAAACAUUGUGUAACCAUUGUCAACCUAGCAACAUUUUUAUUUGAAGAAAAUCUUUAUUAAAUGUGUACCACCAGAUUGAGUCUGCUUGACAUCAUUCUGUGCACUACUGUACUUGUCAGUCAUAAACAUGGGAAGCUUUGUCCACUCUACCAUCCAUCCCAUAUGACAUGAGUAUUUUCAUGCAGAAUAUAUCAGGUUUCUCAGUGACUAUGUGUGCAUUUAUUUUGUUAUUCUGCUGCUGUGUUUUGUUUCAGAUGUUAUCUGACAAUUUUCAGCAUUGCAGUUUUCAGCUCAAGCAUCUCUGCAACAUCAAAGGAUCGACUUGGGCCUUCAGAAACCACAGCUAGGGGCCUGUACUAAAAGAUACAGGUAUGCAUCACCUCUAUCACCACCCUGAACACCAGCGUCCCACAGGACUGUGUGCUGAGCCCCCUCCUCUACUCCCUCUUCACCCACGACUGCACACCUGUACAUGGUUCCAUCAUCAAGUUUGCGGACACCCAACGGUGAUUGGGAUCAUCUGUGACAAUGAUGAGUCAGAUUACAGGGAGGAGGUCCAGCACCUGGCGACCUGGUGAGCCAACAACAACCUGGCCAUCAACACCAAGAAGACCAAAGAGAUCAUUGUGGACUUCAAAAACACAAACAAAUGGUUUGCCCUCCUGCCCUGGAGGUGCUACAGGUCUCUCCGUUCCUGAACUAGCAGGCUCAGGAACAGCUUUUUCCCAUUAGCUGUCAGCCUGCUAAACUCUGCAUCGAGGAGACCCCCCCUUCCCCCUGAACUCCCACUGAACUGUCUUUCUUUCUGUGUUUUUCAUAUUUACCCAUAGUGUAUAAAUAACCACCUAUAGUAUAAUCACAUCUAGCUGUCUGUAUAUAUAUACACUUAUAUUUAAUUACUUGUACUUACAUCCGCACUAUAUAUUCCACUGCUAAUCUGUUCAUACUGUAAAUAUCAAAACUUAAUAGCUGUAUAUAUCUUAGUGUAUUCACCUCACUCGGUUCAUUCUGUUAAUACUGUUCAUACUGUAAAUACCCUGCUAGUAAUUUCAUAUAUAUAUCUAUAAAGUUAUUUUUACAUAUUUUUAUAUACAUGCACAUUACUCUGCACUUUUCUGCUUUGCACUUCUGGUUAGAUGCUUAACUGCAUUUUGUUGCCUAGUACCUGUGCCCGUGCAAUGACAAUAAAGUGGAAUCUAAUCUAA